Molecule: ribosomal RNA, 390 nt
Filed under: uncultured bacterium
Lineage: Bacteria
Description: bacterial SSU rRNA
Rfam family: Bacterial small subunit ribosomal RNA
Source: RNAcentral
AAUCAACGCUGGCGGCGUGCCUCAGACAUGCAAGUCGAACGAUUAAGACUUCCUUCGGGAAGUGCAUAAAGUGGCGCACGGGUGAGUAACACGUAAGUAAUCUACCCUCGAGUGGGGAAUAACGUUCGGAAACGGACGCUAAUACCGCAUAACGCAGCGGCACCGCAAGGUGACAGUUGUUAAAGGAGUAAUUCGCUUGAGGAGGAGCUUGCGGCAGAUUAGCUUGUUGGUAAGGAACGGCUUACCAAGGCUACGAUCUGUAUCCGGUCUAAGAGGACGGUCGGACACACUGACACUGAAUAACGGGUCAGACUCCUACGGGAGGCAGCAGUCGGGAAUUUUGGGCAAUGGGCGAAAGCCUGACCCAGCAACGCCGCGUGAAGGAUGAAG